AUUCACGAUGUUUGUACAUCUGCUAAGAAAAGUCAGCAAAAACGUAAAACCUCAACGUCAAUAUGGAGUCAACAUACAAAUGAUAGGAGACAUGCUGGACAACCCUUAUUCUCACCACCUCAGGACAGGAGACAUGCUUGACAGCCCUUAUUCUCACCACCUCAGGACAGGAGACAUGCUGGGCAGCCCUUAUUCUCACCACCUCAGGACAGGAGACAUGCUGGACAGCCCUUAUUCUCACCACCUCAGGACAGGAUACAUGCUGGACAGCCCUUAUUCUCACCACCUCAGGACAGGAGACAUGCUGGACAGCCCUUAUUCUCACCACCUCAGGACAGGAGACAUUCUGGACAGCCCUUAUUCUCACCACCUCAGGACAGGAAGGAGGUUUUCACUCAAAAUCUCACGAUACAUGGUUUUGAAUGGGAAACCACUGGAGUGUGCAGAACUGGGGAAUUUGACUAAAGUCAGUGGUUAUAACUGCAUCCCAAAUGGCACCCUAUUGUCUAUAUAGGGCACUACUUUUGACCAGGGCCCCUAGUGCACUAUGUAGGGAAUAGGGUGCUAUUUGGAACAUAGUCUAUGAGCACCUGCCCUUUACAUCGGUAAUGAAAUGUAGGUAAGUUAUGUUUGUGACUUUUACAAAAAUGCACCAAGCAGGUUUAAGAAAUCUAAUGUUGCCAGUGGUUCUAGGAUUCAGCUCAGAGGUCUACACAGUGUCGUGGUGUGCAGGAGACCUAGGUUCUAACCUAGCUGGUCUCAUUAGGAAGCAGGUAACAUGGAAGGAUACUUAUUUAAAAUGUGUAAUGGAGACGUUGGCUUUUCAGCCUUUUGAUAUACCAUUCAGUGUUCAUCAUAAAAUAAUAGUUGAACUAGAUCUUAUAAUCAAACACAUUGUUUUCUAUGUUGUGGUCCAGCCUUGAAGUGGAAAUAUAAGCCUGAAUAUUUGACUGGGGAAAAGUAACACUAAAGGACUUUUUCAUGGCACUGACUGCAGAUAUGAAGUGCAUUGUGAAAUGAAUGAAUAGUCAUGAUUAAAAAUGACAGAUUACAUAACAGAAAUAAUACAAAUAUUACCUUUGUUAAUGAGCAGGAUGCCAAACCAGCCUAUACAAUAUAUGAAUGCAGAUCUGUACUAAUAAUACCCAGAUAUUUGUUCUUGUCAACAGUCUCCCCAAACUGAUCCUUUACAGUCCUUUGUUGAGAGGAAGGGAAGAUCAACUGACCAUAACAGAAUCGUUCACACAUUUUGUGUCUUCCUUCAUAGGUGCUCUGGGAGUCAUAUUUUCAUUGUGAAUUGAGCUGAAUUGACAAAGUUGCAUCAGUGUCCCAACAUUUUUAUUAGAUCUCAGAAUCUGAAGAAAGGUUCAUUUCCUCUGACACUUUUGCAUCAACGUUGGUAAUUUUAGACUGUGAGGCAGUGCAUCUCCACCUCCUAAUGCAAAUGAAAAUGCCCAAUAGAAUAAGAAUCAGCAGCAUCACCAGUAGAGCUGAGAGGGUUGAUAGGUGAACUCUCUCUGUCCCAGACUCCCAACUGACAUCCAGCUUGUUGUCCAGACUGAGGUGAGAGGCAGUACAGGUGUAGUUGUGUCUCUUCUUUAGCUCCUCAGUACUGACCUCCAGACUCUUCCUCAGCUGGUAGGUCCCGUCUCCACUAGGCAGCACCUCCCCCCCUGUCAGCUCCUGUUCUGCCACUGGCUGGCCGUCUCUCAGCAGGGUCAGGUUGAUGUGGCGGGGAUAGAAACCAAACGCCAGGCAGCUCAUCUGGAACCCUCCAGAAACCUCUUUCUUUAUCAACCUGAGUCUGGGAGGAACUUCACGCAUCACAAUGUUCUUCUCCCUCUUCAGGAGUUUCUUCUGUGUUCUGAUACAAAUGGGAAGGUGAACGUUCUCAAAUAAUACUCUUUCAAACGCUUGCCUCAUCCCAUCCCAUCCUCGUAGUAGUUUCCCAGCAUCAUAUAUAAAAUGUGUCAUGUUGUAAUAUACCAUUUCUCUGGAUAAGAGCGUCUGCUAAAUGACUUAAAUGUAAAUGUAAAUCUGUAUAAAUGGCAUUGAAAGUGUCCUUCACCAUGAACAUGACCGGUUCACCAUUGUCCAACAUCUCACAGCCAGACAUUCUUUGCUGAACUUGAACACCUUCUGUGAGGUUGAAGUGGU
This is a long non-coding RNA of Oncorhynchus nerka (sockeye salmon), 2157 nucleotides long. RefSeq lists it as uncharacterized. The record is from RefSeq and is a predicted model, not a curated record. The transcript has 3 exons. Lineage: Eukaryota; Metazoa; Chordata; Actinopteri; Salmoniformes; Salmonidae.